This 505-nucleotide ribosomal RNA is filed under the name Aspergillus sp. 15a. RNAcentral's name for it is "partial 18S ribosomal RNA". The stretch from base 176 to 329 matches the Rfam family "5.8S ribosomal RNA". Lineage: Eukaryota; Fungi; Ascomycota; Eurotiomycetes; Eurotiales; Aspergillaceae. The record is from RNAcentral.
ACCUGCGGAAGGAUCAUUACUGAGUGCGGGCUGCCUCCGGGCGCCCAACCUCCCACCCGUGACUACCUAACACUGUUGCUUCGGCGGGGAGCCCUCUCGGGGGCGAGCCGCCGGGGACUACUGAACUUCAUGCCUGAGAGUGAUGCAGUCUGAGUCUGAAUAUAAAAUCAGUCAAAACUUUCAACAAUGGAUCUCUUGGUUCCGGCAUCGAUGAAGAACGCAGCGAACUGCGAUAAGUAAUGUGAAUUGCAGAAUUCAGUGAAUCAUCGAGUCUUUGAACGCACAUUGCGCCCCCUGGCAUUCCGGGGGGCAUGCCUGUCCGAGCGUCAUUGCUGCCCAUCAAGCCCGGCUUGUGUGUUGGGUCGUCGUCCCCCCCGGGGGACGGGCCCGAAAGGCAGCGGCGGCACCGUGUCCGGUCCUCGAGCGUAUGGGGCUUUGUCACCCGCUCGAUUUAGGGCCGGCCGGGCGCCAGCCGACGUCCAACCAUUUUUCUUCAGGUGACCUC